GAUGAACGCUGGCGGCGUGCCUAAUACAUGCAAGUCGAGCGAACAGAUGAGGAGCUUGCUCCUCUGACGUUAGCGGCGGACGGGUGAGUAACACGUGGAUAACCUACCUAUAAGACUGGGAUAACUUCGGGAAACCGGAGCUAAUACCGGAUAAUAUAUUGAACCGCAUGGUUCAAUAGUGAAAGACGGUUUUGCUGUCACUUAUAGAUGGAUCCGCGCCGCAUUAGCUAGUUGGUAAGGUAACGGCUUACCAAGGCAACGAUGCGUAGCCGACCUGAGAGGGUGAUCGGCCACACUGGAACUGAGACACGGUCCAGACUCCUACGGGAGGCAGCAGUAGGGAAUCUUCCGCAAUGGGCGAAAGCCUGACGGAGCAACGCCGCGUGAGUGAUGAAGGUCUUCGGAUCGUAAAACUCUGUUAUUAGGGAAGAUCAAAUGUGUAAGUAACUAUGCACGUCUUGACGGUACCUAAUCAGAAAGCCACGGCUAACUACGUG
This 497-nucleotide ribosomal RNA is filed under the name uncultured bacterium. Its description in RNAcentral is "partial 16S ribosomal RNA". It matches the Rfam family "Bacterial small subunit ribosomal RNA", at positions 28 to 507 of the family's 1533-position model. The record is from RNAcentral.